Pelodiscus sinensis (Chinese soft-shelled turtle) is the source of this 935-nucleotide non-coding RNA. The record is from RefSeq and is a predicted model, not a curated record. NCBI's taxonomy places the organism in Eukaryota, Metazoa, Chordata, Testudines, Trionychidae.
UUCCCAAAUCUUAUAGAUCUUCCAGCAAAUUAAAAUGGGGUCUGAAGACCUAGAAAUAGUUAAAAGACACGCAACUGACAAGCUCUUGCUCUUAAAAUAACAUGCAUUUCCUGCAGCAGUCAACUAUUUGUUACAUACAUCAAGGAAAUUCUGCUCCUAGCAACUAACAGAAUGAACACAACUGACUGUGCUGUGUGAAACCCAGCACACUGCUGAAAAUAGCAGACUCUGAAUGUUCCAAACUGGUGUUUUGAACUGAAACUUUCAAUGGUAUGGAGGAACAACUGAAAUGGGAAGGAGGCUGUACAUAAUCCCACAGUGAAUCCCAAUACAAGUUCACAUUAUUGUGGCUUUUACAUAUGAACACAGACAUAGAGGUAGAAGUAGAACCUCUGUGGUCCAGGAGUCUCUUAAGAACUGAACUUAAAACUGCAGAACCCAGGGCUGCAUCACUCCUGGCCUGCUACGUAAUGGCAUAAUGUGCAGUGAACGAAUGGACCAAGGACCAUGUGGAUGUCCUACAGAUAUCUACAAUCAGGACUUGAGCCACAAACGCUGUAGAGGACGCAUGUGCUCAUGUGGAGUGGGCCGUCAUGUGAGGCGGGUCUUUGCCUGCUAACACGUAACACUCCUUUAUACAGGAUGAGACCCAGGAAGAUAGCCUCUGGGCUGACACUGGCAACCCUCUCAUCCUUUCCGCAAAUGAAAUAAAAAGAUGGGACGACUUGCGGAAGUAUCUGGUUCUGUCUAUAUAGAAGGCUAAUGCUUUCUUGGUAUCAAGAGAGUGGAGGGCUUGUUCCCUAGAGGACUUAUGGGUAAAACACAGGCAGGUAUAUGUCUUGGGACAUAUGGAAGGUGGACAUUACCUUCAGUAGAAAGACUGGGUGAGUACGUAAACUCACCCUAUCUGCUGAAAAGAGCAAGUAAAGGAGCUC